GCACCGGGAUCGGAGAACGAAUACGUGGAGUCAGGAGAGUACGUGCAGGACGAACCAGAACCAUUCCAAGCUGAGGAUAUCACAGGCAAGAUGACAUGACCUUGAUUCCAUCUCUAGACUUGUUAUGCUAGUUUCGUUUCCAUGUCAUAUUGCUUGCUGCCUACCACUGAAAUUAAAUUUCCUCUUCAUAUGCCAUGAGCCGAAACACUGUUCCCCUUCCUAGCAAAACUUAUAUGGCUAAGUAGGCUUUGCUCAGCUACUAAUGAUAGCAUUGCUAGAUGCAGGUGCUUUGACUCAUGUGACAACAUGAGCUUGAUAUCAUUAUCUUAAAUUCUGUUAUUUUAAUUAAUGCACUUAUAUACUUGGUAGAUGACGGAAGGCCUAGCCUUUUUGCCGGGUGCUUUGUUCCGUUAUUGCCGCCUUAGUUACCGGUUACCGGUGUUUGAUUCCAUAAUGAUCGCUCCUAACACGUUCGGGGUUGUUAUGGGGNNNNNNNNNNNNNNNNNNNNNNNNNNNNNNNNNNNNNNNNNNNNNNNNNNNNNNNNNNNNNNNNNNNNNNNNNNNNNNNNNNNNNNNNNNNNNNNNNNNNGAUGUGAUUAAAUUGAAGCUUUCCCUUUCUCGUUGCGAGAUCGAGCAAAACUUGGUUUUCGUCUUUGCCCAAAAAUAGUAUUGAUUCUUGGAAUAAGUGCAAAGAUGCUUACCAAUCCAAGUAUUUUCAGCCGGCUAAGAUUAUCUCUCUCCGUCAUGAUAUCAUGAAUUUAUAAACUUGAUCAUGAACAUGUUGCACAAUCUUGGGAGAGAAUGAAAUUGAUGAUUAGAAAUUGUCCCAGUCAUGGCUAAGUCUGUGGAUGAUUAUACAAAUCUUUUACGCUGGCUUGAAUUUCGCUUUUAGAAAUAUCUUGGACUCUGCCUCAGGUGGAACGUUCAUGGAAAUUAUGUUAGGAGAAGACACAAAACUCCUAGACAAUAUCAUGACGAACUACUCUCAGUGGCACACUGAAAAGGUCACCUACUAGUAAGAAGGUACACGCUAUAGAAGAAAUUAACUCGUUGAGUGCUAAGAUGGAGGAGUUAAUGAAUUUGGUUGCUAGUAGAAGUGCUCCUUUAGAUCCUAAUAAUAUACCCUUAUCUUCCUUGAUUGAGAGUAGCAACGCUAGCUUGGACGUUAAAUUAUUGGUAGGAAUAAUUUUGGCAACAACAAUGCUUUUAGAGGAAACUAUGUUCCUAGGACUUUUCCUAGUAACCCCUCUAAUAACUUUUGCAACUCCUACAACAAUACUCAUGGAAAUUACAAUAGAUUACCCUCUGAUCUAGAGAGUAAUAUCAAAGAGUUUAUCAACUCACAAAAGAUUUUCAAUGCCUCCAUAGAGGAAAACUACUCAAAAAUGACGAUUUGGCUAGGAGCGUUGAUAGAAUGUCUAGUGAUAUUGAUGCUUUGAAAGUUAGAUGUGCUCCUCCCAAGAUCAAUAUGGAUGAAACUUUGAAAGCUAUGCGUAUUUCCAUGAGUGAGAGCAAAUAAAGAAUCGCCCAAAUUCGUGCUAGACAUGAAUGGCUUAAAAGGGCGUGUUCUCGUGAUAAGAAUCACGAAGAUCUUAAAGUGCUUGGUGUGACUCCCAUUGAAUCUUUGUUUUCUUGUGUCAAACCUAAAGAUUAUGGGGCUGGAUAUGAAUCCACUUUGGUUGAAAAGCGCCCCAAUGAUUCGGAGUCCAUCUAUCUUGAUGCUAAAAGCACUGAAAGUGGAGUACAAGAUAUUAAAACCUUGAGUAGUAAUAAAAUUACUACUUUGGAUUUCAAGGAAUUCAAUUAUGAUAGUUUCUCCUUGAUUGAAUGCAUUUCCUUGAUGCAAUCAAUGCUAAACUCUCCACACGCUUAUAGCCAAAACAAGGCCUUUACUGAUCAUAUCGUCGAAGCUAUGAUAAAAUCUCUUGAAGAGAAACUUAAUUGGAAGUUUCUAUCCCUAGAAAGCUUCAUGAUGAGUGGGAACCUACUAUCAAAAUCAAAAUCAAAAACUAUGAAUGAAAUGCUUUGUGUGAUUUGGGUGCUAGUGUUUCCACGAUUCCAAAGUCUUUAUGUGAUGUUCUGGGUUUUAAUGAGAUUGAGGAGUGUUCUCUUAAUUUGCAUCUUGCGGAUUCUACUGUGAAGAAACCCAUGGGAAGGAUCAAUGAUGUUCUUAUUAUUGCAAAUAGGAACUAUGUACCCAUGGAUUUCAUUAUGCUUGACAUUGAUUGCAAUCCUACAUGCCCUAUCAUUCUUGGUAGACCUUUCCUAAGGACUAUUGGUGUUAUCAUCGAUAUGAAGGAAGGGAAUAUUAGAUUUCAAUUUCCUUUAAAGAAGGGCAUGGAGCAUUUUCCUAGAAAGAAAAUAAGAUUGCCUUAUGAAUCUAUGAUGAGGGCUACUUAUGGUUUGAGCACCAAAGACGACGAUACGUGAUUCUAUCGCCUUAUGCCUAGCUAAGGGCGUUAAACAAUAGCGCUUGUCAGGAGGCAACCCAAUGAAUUUAUCUUUUUCUUUCUGUUUUGUUGCGUCCACGCCAUCAUAAUUCUGUUAUGAUAGUGUCUUUUGUGUUUCUUUUUGUGUUUGAGCCAAGCAAAACCUUUAUGACUAGUCUUGGUGAUGGUUGUUUGAUCUUGCUGGAAAAAGACAUAAACUUUUUGCUCACGAGAUUAUUUUUCAUUUUUAUUCAGAAAGAGAUUUUGAGUUGCUUUCUUUUUCUUCUGAUUGAUAUGCCUUUUUCCCAGGCAGUAGUAAUAUUUCAGAAUUUUUGAGGUACGAGAAGUAUACGAAGUAUACAGAUUGCUACAGACUGGUCUGUUUUUGACAGAUUCUGUUUUUGUUGAGUUGGUUGUUUGUUUUGAUGAAACUAUGGAUAGUAUAGGGGGGUACUAGCCAUGGAAAAGUGAGAAUACAGUAAUCUAACACCAAUAUAAAUAGAGAUCAAGAUUUCUACACUACCUAAAGAGGUGGUAGUUUGUUUUCUUGUGCUAAUGAUAUCACGAAUUUCUGUUUAAGUUUUGUGUUGUGAAGUUUUCAAGUUUUGGGUGAUGUUCUCAUGGACAAAGGGAUAAAGAGUGGAAAGAACUCAAGCUUGGGGAUGUCCAAGGCAUCCCAAGCCAAAUUCAAGGACACCAAAAAGCCUAAGCUUGGGGAUGCCCCGGGAAGGCAUCCCCUCUUUCGUCUUCAAUCCAUCGGUAACAUUACUUGGAGCUAUAUUUUAUUCACCACAUGAUAUGUGUUUUGCUUGGAGCGUCUUGUAUCGUAGGAGUCUUUUCUUUUUGUUGUGUCACAAUCAUCCUUGCUGCACACAUUUUUAGAGAGACAUGCACUCAUCGUGAAUUUGCUAGAAUGCUCAUCGUGCUUCACUUAUAUCUUUUGAGCUAGAUAAUUUUGCUCUAUGUGCUUCACUUAAAUCUUUUUAGAGCACGGCGGUGCGUGACUUGGUAGUUGGUUUGUGCUAUGAAAGUAGUCCCAAAGGUGAUAGGUACACAUAGAGGAUAUAAAAACUUCCAUCUUCAUGAGCGUUGAGUAGAAAGAGAAGUUUGAUUCCUCUCAAUUAGUUUUGAGACGUGGAUUUGGUAAUAUUAAGAGUUAUGUUAGUAGGCUGUUGUGAAUCUAGAAAUACUUGUGUUGAAGUUAGUGAUUCCCGUAACAUGCACGUAUGGUGAACCGCUAUGUUAGGAAGUCGGAGCAUAAUUGAUUUAUUGAUUGUCAUCCUUUGUGUUGCGGUCGGGAUCGCGCGAUGGUUUACACCUACCAACCCUUCCCCUAGGAGUAUGCGUUUAGCACUUUGUUUCGAUUACUAAUAAAAAGUUUCGCAACAAGUAUGUGAGUUCUUCAUGACUAAUGUGAGUCCAUGGUAUAGAUGCACUUUCACCUUCCACCAUUGCUAGCCUCUCUAGUGCCGCGCAAUUUUCGCCGGUGCGCAAACCCACCAUAUGCCUUCCUCAAAACAGCCACCAUACCUACCUACUAUGGCAUUUUGGCUAUUCUGAGAUAUAUUGCCAUGCAACUCCCACCGUUCCAUCUCAUGACUUGUUCCGUCACUCUCAUAUUUCCAUUGCAUGAUCAUAAGAUAGCUAGCGAGAUGUUUCAACGUCAUACGCCAAGCUAGAUCGUUGCACAUCUCGGUACACUGCCGGAGGCAUUUCCUAUGGAGUCAUCAUCGUUCUAAGCUUUGAGCUGUGAGUAAAUAAAAGUGUGAUGAUCGUCAUUAUUAGAGCAUUGUCCCAUGUGAGGAAAUAAAAAAGGCCAAAGAGCCCAAAUAAAAAAUAGAAGAGAAAAAAAGAGGUCAAAGAGCCCAAAUAAAAAAGGAGAGAAAAGAGAGAAGGGACAAUGCUACUAUCUUUUUCCACACUUGUGCUUCAUAAUAGCACCAUGUACUUCAUGAUUGAGAGCCUCUUGCUUUGUCACCACCAUAUACUAGUGGGAAUCUUUACUAUAUAACUUGGCUUGUAUAUUCCAAGGAUGGGCUUCCUCAAAUUGCCCUAGCUCUUUGUGAGCAAGCAAGUUGGAUGGACACCCACUAGUUCUCCUUUUGAGCUUUCACAUACUUAUAGCUCUAGUGCAUCUCUUGUAUGGCAAUCCCUACUCAUUCACAUUGAUAUCUAUUAAUGGGCAUCUCCAUAGCCCUUUGAUACGCCGAGUCAAUGUGACCAUCUCCUCCUUUUUGUCUCACAACCACGACCACACUCUAUUCCACCUAUAGUGCUAUAUCCAUGGCUCACGCUCAUGUAUUGCGUGAUAGUUUGAGAAAGUAAGAGUGCGAAAACAAUUACUUGGCCAAUACCGGGGUUGUGCAUGAUUUAAAUUAGUUGUGUGAGGAUGAUGGAGCAUAGCCAAACCAUAUGAUUUUGUAUGGAUAACUUUCUUUGGCCUUGUUAUUUCGAAAGUUCAUGAUUACCUUGCUAGUUUGCUUCAAGUAUUAUUGUUUUCAUGUCAAUAGCAAACUAUUGUUUUGAAUCUUACGGAUCUGAACAUUCAUGUCACAUGAAAGAAGUUACAAAGGACAACUCGAGGACGAGCAGGAGUUAAGCUUCGGGGUGCUUGACACGUCUCCAACGUAACUAUAAUUUUUAUGGUUCCAUGCUAUUAUCUUGUCAAACUUUGGAUGUUUUGUAUGCCUUUUAUAUCUUUUUGGGACUAACUUAUUAACUCAGUGCCAAGUGUCAGUUCCUGUAUUUUUCGUGUUUUUACCCUUUUCAGAGGAGGAUUUUAAACGGUGUCCAAACGGAAUAAAACUUCCGAAAAGAUUUUUCCGAAACAGAAGAUACACGCCAGACUUGAGAACCAAGGCAAGGGCCAGCAGGGGACCCCACAAGCCCGCUAGGCACGGCCAAGGGGCGCGCCUAGCAGGCUUUUGGGCCCCCUGUGGCACGUCUGCCCUACCUCUUCCUCCUAUAAAUUCAGAAAAAUUCCAAAACUGCGUGAGAGAUCCACGAAAAUACUUUUCCACCGCCGCAAGCUUCUGUCUCUGCAAGAUCCCAUCUGGGGCACGUUCUGGUGCCCUACCGGAGGGGGAUUCGGAUACAGAGGGCUUCUUCAUCAACACCAUGACCUCUCCGAUGAUGCGUGAGUAGUUCACCAUAGACCUUCGGGUCCAUAGCCAGUAGCUAGAUGGCUUCUUCUCUCUCUUGGAUCUUCAAUACAAAGUUCUCCAUGAUCUUCAUGGAGAUCUAUCCGAUGUAAUCUUCCUUUGCGGUGUGUUUGUCGAGAUCCGAUGAAUUGUGGAUUUAUGAUCAGAUUGUCUAUGAAUCUUAUUUGAGUUUCUUCUGAUCUCUCUUAUGCAUGAUUUCAUAUCCUUGUAAUUCUCUUCGAGUUGUGGGCUUUGUUUGGCCAACUUGAUCUAUGAUUCUUGCAAUGGUAAAAGUGCUUGGUUUGGGUUCAUACCGUGCGGUGACUUCACCCAGUGACAGAAGGGGUAGCGAGGCACGUAUCGUGUUGUUUCCAUCAAGGGUAAAAGAUGGGGUUUUCAUCGUUGGUUUGAGUUUAUCCCUCUACAUCAUGUCAUCUUGCUUAAAGCGUUACUCUGUUCCUCAUGAACUCAAUACACUAGAUGCAUGCUGGAUAGCGGUCGAUGUGUGGACUAAUAGUAGUAGAUGCAGAAAGUAUCGGUCUACUUGUCUCGGACGUGCUGCCUAUAUGUAUGAUCAUUGCCUUAGAUAUCGUCAUGACUUUGCGCGGUUCUAUCAAUUGCUCGACAGUAAUUUACUCACCCACCGUAUCAUUUGCUAUUUUGAGAGAAGCCUCUAGUGAACACUAUGGCCCCCGGGUCUACUUCACACCAUAUUUUCAGCCUUACUCUUUUACUUCGUUGCACUUUCCGCCUUCAGAUCUCACUUUGCAAUCAAUCUUGAAGGGAUUGACAACCCCUUUAUAGCGUUGGGUGCAAGCUCUUUUGUGGUUGCACAGGUACUCUGGACUUGACGCGAUUCUCCUACUGGAUUGAUACCUUGGUUCUCAAACUGAGGGAAAUACUUACUGCUCCUGUGCUGCAUCACCCUUUCCACUUCAAGGGAAAACCAACGCAAGUUCAAGGGGCCAGCAGAAGGAUUUCUCGUGCCGUUGCCGGGGAGGAUCAAGUCAAGAACUCAUCCAAGUAAGUGUCGCAAACUCAUCUCUUGCAUUUACUUUUUUGCCUCUCGUUUUCCUCUCCCCCACUUCUCAAAACAAAAUUUACAAAAUAUUUGCCUUUUUCGUUCGCCCUUUUCUCUCGCUUGCUUUCUGUCCGCUUGUGUGCUUGCUUGCUUGCUGAAGUCGCCAUGACUGAAAACACCAAACUUUGUGACUUCUCGAAUACAAAUAAUAAUGAUUUUAUUAGUACUCCGAUUGCUCCUGCCACUAGUGCGGAGUCAUACGAAAUCAAUGCUGCUUUGCUGAAUCUUGUUAUGAAAGAGAUAUUCUCCUGCCUUCCUAGGGAAGAUGUCGCAUCCCAUCUUAAUACCUUCAUUAAGCUUUGCGAUAUGCAAAAGAAGAAACAUGUGGAUAAUGAUGUGAUUAAAUUGAAGCUUUUCCCUUUCUCGUUGCGAGAUCGAGCAAAACUUGGUUUUCGUCUUUGCCCAAAAAUAGUAUUGAUUCUUGGAAUAAGUGCAAAGAUGCUUACCAAUCCAAGUAUUUUCAGCCGGCUAAGAUUAUCUCUCUCCGUCAUGAUAUCAUGAAUUUUAAUAAACUUGAUCAUGAACAUGUUGCACAAUCUUGGGAGAGAAUGAAAUUGAUGAUUAGAAAUUGUCCCAGUCAUGGCUAAGUCUGUGGAUGAUUAUACAAAUCUUUUACGCUGGCUUGAAUUUCGCUUUUAGAAAUAUCUUGGACUCUGCCUCAGGUGGAACGUUCAUGGAAAUUAUGUUAGGAGAAGACACAAAACUCCUAGACAAUAUCAUGACGAACUACUCUCAGUGGCACACUGAAAGGUCACCUACUAGUAAGAAGGUACACGCUAUAGAAGAAAUUAACUCGUUGAGUGCUAAGAUGGAGGAGUUAAUGAAUUUGGUUGCUAGUAGAAGUGCUCCUUUAGAUCCUAAUAAUAUACCCUUAUCUUCCUUGAUUGAGAGUAGCAACGCUAGCUUGGACGUUAAAUUAUUGGUAGGAAUAAUUUUGGCAACAACAAUGCUUUUAGAGGAAACUAUGUUCCUAGGACUUUCCUAGUAACCCCUCUAAUAACUUUUGCAACUCCUACAACAAUACUCAUGGAAAUUACAAUAGAUUACCCUCUGAUCUAGAGAGUAAUAUCAAAGAGUUUAUCAACUCACAAAAGAUUUUCAAUGCCUCCAUAGAGGAAAAACUACUCAAAAAUGACGAUUUGGCUAGGAGCGUUGAUAGAAUGUCUAGUGAUAUUGAUGCUUUGAAAGUUAGAUGUGCUCCUCCCAAGAUCAAUAUGGAUGAAACUUUGAAAGCUAUGCGUAUUUCCAUGAGUGAGAGCAAAUAAAGAAUCGCCCAAAUUCGUGCUAGACAUGAAUGGCUUAAAAGGGCGUGUUCUCGUGAUAAGAAUCACGAAGAUCUUAAAGUGCUUGGUGUGACUCCCAUUGAAUCUUUGUUUUCUUGUGUCAAACCUAAAGAUUAUGGGGCUGGAUAUGAAUCCACUUUGGUUGAAAAGCGCCCCAAUGAUUCGGAGUCCAUCUAUCUUGAUGCUAAAAGCACUGAAAGUGGAGUACAAGAUAUUAAAACCUUGAGUAGUAAUAAAAUUACUACUUUGGAUUUCAAGGAAUUCAAUUAUGAUAGUUUCUCCUUGAUUGAAUGCAUUUCCUUGAUGCAAUCAAUGCUAAACUCUCCACACGCUUAUAGCCAAAACAAGGCCUUUACUGAUCAUAUCGUCGAAGCUAUGAUAAAAUCUCUUGAAGAGAAACUUAAUUGGAAGUUUCUAUCCCUAGAAAGCUUCAUGAUGAGUGGGAACCUACUAUCAAAAUCAAAAUCAAAAACUAUGAAUGAAAUGCUUUGUGUGAUUUGGGUGCUAGUGUUUCCACGAUUCCAAAGUCUUUAUGUGAUGUUCUGGGUUUUAAUGAGAUUGAGGAGUGUUCUCUUAAUUUGCAUCUUGCGGAUUCUACUGUGAAGAAACCCAUGGGAAGGAUCAAUGNNNNNNNNNNNNNNNNNNNNNNNNNNNNNNNNNNNNNNNNNNNNNNNNNNNNNNNNNNNNNNNNNNNNNNNNNNNNNNNNNNNNNNNNNNNNNNNNNNNNCCCUUAGUGAUUUUGGUGGUUUGAAGACUUACGGGUUAAGUAUCUAAUGUGUUUGUGAGUGUACACAGGAUCUAUAAGUCAUUGAGGAGUUUGAGAUAUUUGAAGAAUAUCGACCCCUAAAAUUAUAUGUCUUCAGUUGAAGAAAUUGGUCUGAAGCUGAAGAAAUGAAUCGCGAGGAAUCUGCGAGGAAAUUGAUAUUCCUCAUGAAGAUACUGAUAUUGAGAAGUCCGGUGGUUCCUGAAGAAAAUCAUUCUGAAGAAUUUGAAGCAUGAAGAUUUACACUUUCUGUUUUACCUUCUUCGCAUUUGAGUAAUAGGAACACCGUACUGUUAAAGGGGGUCGAAGUUACACUAUGGAAUGAAUUUCCUCAUGAUGCUCAACCCAAGCCUAAUACUAUCAAAAGCCUCAAGUGAGGAAUAUGAGUGACAUGAGGACUCUCUCAGUUGAGGGUUCCGACCGUUUUGAUAACCACGCCAAGUCAUUGGUCUUAUCCACUCCAACGGUCAUAUUAUUUAAGGGCAUUAGUGUCAAAUCAUGUCGGGAUGCUCCCAGGCUAUAAAUAGCCACCCCCACAACCACUAGCUGGUUGGAUGCUCCGUUAGAAACUGACACUUGUCAUAAGAGCAACCCAAAUUCCUCAGAGCUUUCGAGAGUAAUUCAUCAGUGAGGAAAUACAUCACCCACCAAAACCACAAACCAAACCUAGUGAUUGAGCAUCACUGAAGAAGUUGUUCCUGUGUGGGACUGAAGCCUUUUACCUUUGAGGACUGUGCAUCCUCCAGACGGUUAGGCGUCAUGGUCUAGAGCUUUCCAGCAGUCAAUUGUGGAUCGCCGGGUGACCAAGUUUGUGAGGGUUUGGAAGUCUGCCCUGAAGACUUACCACGAGAGUUGGGCGAGGACUGUGUGUCCCUAGCUCAAGGAGAAUACGGUAGGGACUGUUUGUCCCGGGACUGGGUGUCCUUUGGUUUCAAUACCAAGCCGCUCCAAACCAGAUGUACGACUGUCACAACAGUUGGAACUGGGUCAUCAACGACUGUCUUCACUGAGAAACGGGUUGUAAUUCCUCAACUCUUUACUUUCCCCGUAUUAUGUGUUGAUGACUUUCACUGUGACUGUUUGAAGAAUUUGCUGAAGACUUUCUCUGAAUUUCCUCAACCCCAAAUUCUUCACGUUAGUUAUUCCUCAUCUGUAUUCUGCGUGCCUGCUCACUGUGUAAUCUGUUUUCACAUUCUUCACUCUGAAAAACAGCUGUUGUGAAACUUUGCACUUCUGAUCCUUUACUGUUUCCGCUGUAAGUUAGUCAUCAGUGAGGAAUUUCCUCAAAAGGAAUUUCCUCAGUGAUGAAAUUCUAAAAAUCUCCUAUUCACCCCCCUCUAGUCGAUAUAACACACUUUCACUAUCUAGCAUGCAACUAGUGUAUUGAGUUCAUAACAAACAGAGUAACGCCUUAAGCAAGAUGACAUGCUGUAGAGGGAUAAAUUCAUGCAAUAGAUAUAAACCCCAUCUUUUUACCCUUUAUGGCAACAACAUGAUGCGUGCCUUGCUACCCCUUCUGUCACUGGGUGAGGACACCGCACGGUAAGAACCCAAAACCAAGCACUUCUCCAAUUGCAAGAAUUAUAGAUCAAGUUGGCCAAACGAAACCCACAACUCGAAGAGAAUUACCAGGAUACAAAAUCAUGCAUAUAAGAGAUAAGAGGAAACUUAAAUAAUAAUCAUAAAUAAUCUGAUCAUAAAUCCACAAUUCAUCGGAUCUCGACAAAGACACUGCAAAAGAGGAUUACAUCAGAUAGAUCUCCAUGAAGAUCAUGGAGAACUUUGUAUUGAAGAUCCAAGAGAGAGAAGAAGCCAUCUAGCUACUAGCUAUGGACCCUUAGGUCUGUGGUGAACUACGCACACAUCAUCCGAGAGGCAAUGGUGUUGAUGAAGAAGCCCUCCGUGUCCGAAUCCCCCUCCGACAGGGCACCAGAACGAUCCACAGAUGGGAUUUGCGGAGACAGAAGCUUGCGACGGNNNNNNNNNNNNNNNNNNNNNNNNNNNNNNNNNNNNNNNNNNNNNNNNNNNNNNNNNNNNNNNNNNNNNNNNNNNNNNNNNNNNNNNNNNNNNNNNNNNNCCCGAGAUUCGAUCGUCAGUAUCCGCAUACUUAUUUUCAAUCUCGUUUACCGUACAAGUCUCUUUACUCGUUCCGUAAUACAAGAUCCCGCAACUUACACUAAGUCACAUUGCUUGCAAGGCUUGUGUGUGAUGUUGUAUUACCGAGUGGGCCCCGAGAUACCUCUCCGUCAUACGGAGUGACAAAUCCCAGUCUUGAUCCAUACUAACUCAACGAACACCUUCGGAGAUACCUGUAGAGCAUCUUUAUAGUCACCCAGUUAUGUUGCGACGUUUGAUACACACAAAGCAUUCCUCCGGUGUCAGUGAGUUAUAUGAUCUCAUGGUCAUAGGAACAAAUACUUGACACGCAGAAAACAGUAGCAACAAAAUGACACGAUCAACAUGCUACGUCUAUUAGUUUGGGUCUAGUCCAUCACAUGAUUCUCCUAAUGAUGUGAUCCCGUUAUCAAGUGACAACACUUGCCUAUGGUCAGGAAACCUUGACCAUCUUUGAUCAACGAGCUAGUCAACUAGAGGCUUACUAGGGACAGUGUUUUGUCUAUGUAUCCACACAUGCACUGUGUUUCCAAUCAAUACAAUUAUAGCAUGGAUAAUAAACGAUUAUCAUGAACAAAGAAAUAUAAUAAUAACUAAUUUAUUAUUGCCUNNNNNNNNNNNNNNNNNNNNNNNNNNNNNNNNNNNNNNNNNNNNNNNNNNNNNNNNNNNNNNNNNNNNNNNNNNNNNNNNNNNNNNNNNNNNNNNNNNNNUUCUAGUUGAAAGCUAAGGCUAGACCACAACACAUUGACCUGCACAACCUCAUCAACAGGAGAAGAUAAUAUAAACAGAUUCUCAGACUUAGUCUGGAAWUUCAGCCACAUGCCUACUUUGAGUGGGCAUAACUUGCACAUAUGGAAUCCUAAUCAGGAGAUGAAACCAACAAGAGGUGGAGGGGGUCACCCUCUACUAGCACAACCAAGAAACAAUCACAAAGGCUCACCACAACUCAUGGAACCAAGCUCCAAACAUAGAAGAAAAUGAAAAUAUGUCAUCUCCAGAAAAUGUUCCAAUGGCAAAACUAAGUUCACCAAUGGAUUCCUUGGGAGAUUAUACCACAAAAUCAUAUAUAAUAUGUAUGCACUUGCUUGGAAAAAGUGAUCACAAACUAGGAAGUGAAAUCUACAUAGAAUCCCAUCUAGUGAAUAGUGCAUCAUCACAUGUGCUAUUCACUAGAAGACAAGAUACAUAAGCACAUGUUCAUGUCCACAAUAACAAUGUGGUUCAUGAGGGGUAGACCUCAUACCUAUGUGCAUUGGCACACCACCACAACAUCCACAUGUGACUAGCACAACAAAGAUAACACCUACACAUGAAAUCUACACAAUCACUCCUACACAAGGUAAGACACUUAUGCAACCCUAGUGCAACACACACACAUGCACAUGACUUGAACCACAUGCAUAUGCUUGCAAGCAACCUACUCCAACAUAUAAAUAAGGUGUGUGGGAGGGGGAAACCUUUCACACACAUACACACUUGCACUAAAGGCACAAACUACCCCAAGACAACAACAACCUACCAUGCACACUCUCUAGUUACACCACAAGGCACAACAAAACAGCCCACAUCAUCAUCACCUACACAUACACCCACUAUCUCCACAUGCACAUGAAUCUACUAGAACACAUACACCUACAACAUGUGUGACUUGGAGCAAAAGUAUUAGCACCACAAGCCGUAGAGAGAAACAAAAAAUAAAUGGCACCAUACACACUUGUGCAACCUGCAUCUACACAUGCAAGGAGAGGAGCAAAAGGAAACAAUAUGCACAAAAAAUAAAAAUGGGGGAGAGGAUUCGAACCCAACACCCCUCUCUGAAACCAAAGCAGCACUACCACUCUGCUAGAGACAAGGCACUUGACAAAGGAGGGGCUUCACACAAGUCAACAUGCCCUGCUGCGGCAACCACAGCACCGAAUAAAACCAAGAAAACAAAAGGAGGCUUCCCCUGGGAUCGAACCUAGGACCUCACGAGUACAACCGCAAGACACCAACCACUGCGCUAGUGCAUUGCCGCCUGACAGAGUAAGGGACUGAACCAACGAAUACCAUCGCGAGCACCUAGUGCUCUGCACAGCGCAUAGGGUCGCCGGCGACAGGGAGGACGCCGUGCUGCUCUGCUGCUGGUGCUGCACCAUGAAGGGAAACGUCCCUGCUACUACUGUACGUCUGCUACACAAGGAAGAAUCCCUGCUGCACCUAGCGCUACCAAGCCACCACCACAUGCACUACAACACCUGCAACUGCCAACCUGACGCUGGUACAGGGGAUCGCUGGCAUCGAUCUACGCGAAGCUACCGAGGAAGAAGGAAGGAGGGGACGGUUCCUCACCUUGGGGAAGGAAGGAGAGGACCCAAUGGGCGACGAGGCGACGAAGAGGAAGAAGAACAGCGACAUAGAUCUCCUGGAAGCAGAACGAGGCAGCAGGAAGAAGGGCUUCGGGUCCGCGGCGAGGGCGUCGUCUCUGUCGUCGGUGAGGAGGCUCCUCGACCUCACCGAGGGCAAAAAUGGAGCGCGGGGGAGUCCCGCUUGCCCCUGGACAUGGCCUCGGCACCGGAGGGCGACGAGAGGACGGCUAUCGAUGGCGGAGGCUUCUCUCUCUCUCUUCUGGUUGGAACUACAAAGUACUCACGAGGGAGGGGAGGAAGAAGAAGAGAUGGAGAUGGGGAGAGGUGGCGGCGGCGGCUGAGGAAGAAGGAAACCCUAGGAGAGGGAGGCACGGGCGCCGAGAUUAAAUAGGGGGGUCCCUCGACGUUCGAGCUCACGGCGUCGCGCGUGCUCUCUCUGGCGCCUGAACGGAAAAACAGAGAGAGRGGGGGGGGAAGACGCCGUCAGAAGGGAGAGGGACGCCGCAUGGGCUCUGCGCGAGAGAGAGGGAAAAAGGGUCGGCCUGUGGGAGCAAGCCCACAGGUGGCGACAGAUAGAGGUAAAGGGAAUCCCUCAUUUCCCAUUUAUAGAAGAAAGAAACAAAGAGAAGAAAUUAAAGCACAAAAUAAAAUACUGGGGAUAAAAUCAAACAAAAAUAUCCCCUGGUCAUAGAAAAAUAUGACCUAUUUGAAUAAAAUGCAAAAUGAAUAUUAGGGGCAAAUGAAUGUUUACAAAACAGCAUUAUGUGGGAUGUUUUGUAAUUAUUUUGCACCUUUUGAAAACCCCUUUUAAAUCAGCAACUCCACAUUUCAAAAUCACCACAAUUCUACUAACACAAGAGCAUUUUUUAAAGAGGAAAGGAAGAAGUGAUUUUUUUAACAUAGAAGAAAUAGAGAGGGAGUGAAGAUGGUUUUGAAACCUAAGCAUUCACAUGGUAUCCUACUAGAACAAGCAACCUAGUAGAGUGGCACCACACCACACAUAUGUCCACAUAUCACAAACACCACAUGAAAGCAAAAUGACCACAAUGCAACAUCACAAGACAUGUGCAUGAAAUGUUAUGUUAUGCAUGAAUGCAAGGGAAGGAAAUGUUAAGGGACACACAUGAAAUCAUGGCAUUGACCUCUCUCAUAGCAUUGACAUGGUGGUCCCACAUGGAAGGUUACAAAAAGGGGAAGCUUNNNNNNNNNNNNNNNNNNNNNNNNNNNNNNNNNNNNNNNNNNNNNNNNNNNNNNNNNNNNNNNNNNNNNNNNNNNNNNNNNNNNNNNNNNNNNNNNNNNNAAUAAUUACAAACAGCCCACAUAAUGUUGUUUGUAAAUAUUCAUUUCCCCUAAUAUUCAUUUGCAUUUAUUCAAAUAGGUCAUAUUUUCUAUGACCAGGGGAUAUUUUGUUUGAUUUUAUCCCGAGUAUUUUAUUCUGUGCUUUAAUUCUUCUCUGUGUUUUUGUAAAUGGGAAAUAUGGGAUUCCCUUUACCUCUAUCUGUCGCCACCUGUGGGCUUGCUCCCACAGGCCGGCCCUUUUUCCCUCUCUCUCGCGCAGAGCCCAUGCGGCGUCCCUCUCCCUUCUGACGGCGUCUCCCCCCUCUCUGCUUUUCCGUCAGGCGUCAGAGAGAGCACGCACGACGCCGUGAGCUCGAACGUCGAGGGACCCCUAUUUAAUCUCGGCGUCCGUGCCUCCCUCUCCUAGGGUUUCCUUCUUCCUCAGCCGCCGCGGCCACCUCUCCCCAUCUCCAUCUCUUCUUCUUCCUCCCCUCCCCUGGUGAGUACUCUGUAGUUUCCAACCAGCAGAGAGAGAGAGAGAAGCCUCCGCCGUCGAUCGCCGUCCUCUCGUCGCCCUCCGGUGCCGAGGCCAUGUCCGAGGGGCAAGGCGGGACCUCCCCCGCGCUCCUAUUUUUYGCCCUCGGUGAGGUCGAGGAGCCUCCUCACCGACGACAGAGACGACGCCCUCGCCGCGGACCCGAMGCCCUUCUUCCCGCUGCCUCGUUCUGCUUCCAGGAGAUCUAUGUCGCUGUUCUUCUUNNNNNNNNNNNNNNNNNNNNNNNNNNNNNNNNNNNNNNNNNNNNNNNNNNNNNNNNNNNNNNNNNNNNNNNNNNNNNNNNNNNNNNNNNNNNNNNNNNNNUUGGAUUUUGUGCACUUUUGUGGGCUAUAUGGAACUGUAGGAAUGAUGUGGUUUUUGACAGACAUACAAUAUACAUUUUUGCAGGUACUACACAGAGCUACGGCAUUGAUCCGUACAUGAUCGUUACUCGUGCGGAAACCGGGGAGCCUUUGGUUACUGACUCUACCCGAUGGGAGACGGUAGCGCGGGAUAUCUUCAACCGGUUUGGAUUACAGUUCAGUAAUAGGAUAGAUGAGUAGACAUCUAGGCCUAUUUUGCCGGUUGUGGCAAUUUUCAUUUUGCUUUAAUUUAUCUGUCGGAGACUGUGUUGAAUCGAACUUGGUUUGCUUGCUUAAUAAAGGGUCCGUAUGCAUCGUGCUGAUGCAGAGGCCGAAGGGAAU
This 15676-nucleotide long non-coding RNA is filed under the name Hordeum vulgare. Its description in RNAcentral is "long non-coding RNA (HVUL_LNC007785)". The record is from RNAcentral. Lineage: Eukaryota; Viridiplantae; Streptophyta; Magnoliopsida; Poales; Poaceae.